GUUCCAAGGAGAUGUCUUUGUUGCCACAGGGAGUUGAUGGUGGCAGUGCUGUUUCAGUGGCUUCCACUAGGAUUUCAGCUGCCUUGGCCAUGCAGUGUGAGCAGGGCCUGCUCGGUCUCGAAAGUUCUAGCCCUAGUUUUGCUCCAGGGAUGCCACGCCUUCCUGUAUGGGAGAACUGGGGCUCCUCGGCUGCACGGCCACCUGGCAUUGUGGAUGCAGGAGAAGCGGAGGGUUCGGGCGUCCACCUGGAGAUAAGGUGAAAGGGAGACGCCUGGGAACAGAAUGGCUGGAGGAGUUCUGUAUUUCACACUGUAUUUUCCAAAAUAGGGACAUCGUUGUACAUUUCCCGAAGCGUAUGAAGAGAAAGAUGAAGCUUGCCCCGUGCUGGUCUAGUCUGUGUCUCAUGCUAGCUAUUCUCGUGGGUAUAGAGUGUGGCCUCGCAUCUUUUCGGGUGCUUAUUUGCCAGUUUUAUCUUCUUUGUCUCAAAAGAGAUUGCACAUGAGUUUAAUUGGUUUUUAAAAAUUUUAUAGGAUCUGGGACACAAGAUAGGCAAGUGCUGGAUCCCUAGCCUAUCUGAUUGCUUCUGAAAUUUUUAUAUAUUCUGGAUAUAAAAUUCUUUACCAGUCAUUUGCCUUGGCAAAUGUUUUUCCCAGCCCCACAGCUUAUCUUUUAAUUCGCUUAACAAUGUCCCUAGGAGAGCAGGUUUUAAUUUUGCAGACAUCAAUUUGGUCAAUUUGUUCUUACAGUGGUUUAGUUUUCCUAUUUAAGAAACAUUUGCCACCACAUGUGGUGGUGCACACCUAUAAUCUCAGCACUCGGGAGGCUGAGGCAGGAGGAUCACCAUGAGGUGUCAAGGCCAGUCUGGGCCACAUAGUGAGUUCAAGGCCAGCCUGGACUACACAUCGAGACUCUGUUUUAAAGAAAGAAAUAAAGAAUGAAAGAAAG
This 945-nucleotide long non-coding RNA is filed under the name Fukomys damarensis (Damara mole-rat). RNAcentral's name for it is "lncRNA (ENSFDAG00000031835.1)". The record is from RNAcentral. Lineage: Eukaryota; Metazoa; Chordata; Mammalia; Rodentia; Bathyergidae.